GCCUGAUGACACUGUGGUUAGUGCUCUGGUCUUCGGUACCACACGCUCCAGGUUCGAAUCCUGGAGGCG
This is a non-coding RNA of Caerostris extrusa, 69 nucleotides long. NCBI's taxonomy places the organism in Eukaryota, Metazoa, Arthropoda, Arachnida, Araneae, Araneidae. The record is from the annotation of a GenBank genome assembly.